Molecule: ribosomal RNA, 305 nt
Filed under: uncultured Bacillota bacterium
Lineage: Bacteria; Bacillati; Bacillota
Description: bacterial SSU rRNA
Rfam family: Bacterial small subunit ribosomal RNA
Source: RNAcentral
GAUGAACGCUGGCGGCGUGCCUAAUACAUGCAAGUCGAGCGCUUCACUUCGGUGAAGAGCGGCGAACGGGUGAGUAACACGUAGGUAAUCUACCCAUUAGACGGGGAUAACGGUUGGAAACGAUCGCUAAUACCGGAUAGGAUGAAAGUUUAAAGGUGCUUUAGGGCAUCGCUAAUGGAUGAGCCUGUGGCGCAUUAGCUAGUUGGUAGGGUAAGGGCCUACCAAGGCGACGAUGCGUAGCCGACCUGAGAGGGUGAACGGCCACACUGGGACUGAGACACGGCCCAGACUCCUACGGGAGGCUG